This is a long non-coding RNA of Falco tinnunculus (common kestrel), 1944 nucleotides long. NCBI's taxonomy places the organism in Eukaryota, Metazoa, Chordata, Aves, Falconiformes, Falconidae. The record is from Ensembl.
AUGACAGGGACCACACAAGCUGCACAAGAAAACCACGUGCAAGACCUUCUCUUCCUUCUUAUUUGCUUUACAAGGGAGAAGCCUGAUAGCAGCUUUGUCAGAUUAGAAGCCGUGAGGAAUCUGCUCAGGCUGAAGACCAAACCUUGCCCUCGCUUCUCCACGAAAGACUGCACAGUGCGAAGAGCGCUUGCAUCCACCCCUUUGCCCUCAUUUCUGUGCCAGCUGUCAGUCAUGCUAAGGCCUUCAUUGGAACUGCAGCAUCCCAGCUGAAAAUGCCUCAACAGGUGGAAGUUAUGUCCAUGAGGACACAUAAAUUGUCAACACCUGCCCGUCUCUUCUGGGAUGGAGCCACUGGCAGGGACUGGUUGGGUUGCUAAGCAGAUCUGUCUGCCAUGGUGGAGCUUUACGAACACCUCUGCAUAUGGAUUAAAGGUAAAAUGAUUUCCUAAUAAUUUGUAGAGUUUUUUAACAACAAUAGCAAGUUCUUAGGGGUGGGAAACACUUUCUCUUUUUUCUCCAGGGUUUGGCAUGGUAGGUUUUGUGCAGGCACAGCUUCUGUCACUAAUAGUGCUGGAUGCACAUAAAGCACUGUACUCUCAUACUGUACUGUAGAGAUGAAUAACAAGCUGUUCUGGUUGCUCUGCUACAUAUUCAUAAAAAACAAAAAGGAAACAGAAGCACAGAGCAAGCCAACAGAUGUCUACCUGGCUCUUAAUUGGAUUUUAUGUGUCCCCAGUGUAGCAAAUACAGCAUUAUUUACAGCCAGGCUCUAAGAAUUAGAUACAUCUGGAGGAGUGGUGAAACCUGAACCAGACUAUGGGAGUUGGUAGGUUAACUGAAAUGAAGAGCUGCCCCAUUUUCCCCUUAUCUUCUCCCUUCCCACCUAUGUACCGGUUCUCUGUUGUGUGUUGAAUCAAACCAAGAUAUUGCCCAAGGGAAUGCUUAUAAAAAUGAAAAAUGCCAGCAAAAAAGGAGAAUUUCUAGUCUUGUGGAGCUUCAUCAGCAUUUUCUAAUUGUACAGCAAUGAUGAUAAUAAAAAGGCUGCCCUCUGCUCUCAGCUAUAAUUUGGAUAAUCAACUGAAAGCCGUAAUGAAACUGUCUGUGAUUGCUUUCUGCUGGGCUGCUAGUUCACAGAAGCUCAUUGUUGGGCAGAAUUAAAAGUUAUGACUCCUGCUACAGGGAUACACCACUGUGUUCCAAAGGAACAUGUGACUUUGUAAUUCUCUUCUGUAUGGCUUUAUUACAGGCAAACCUUGCAUAAAGCAGAGAGGUAUAGAGAGUUAAGCUUUUGUUUCUUUGCCUGUUUUCUAGAAAGUUGUUCAGUGUCAGAGCUGGCAGUACCAGAUAGCAUGUGUGCCUGGCCGGGGGCACUUGCAGGCACAUAGGAUUUGGGGUGGUCUCUGGCCUUAGGGUGCAUGUGGCCGCGGGGCACGCUGCCCGCAGCACAGGAGCCGCAGGGCAGCGGGCGAGGGCAAGGCGGGAGCCAAGCCGUGCUACGGGUCGUGCUUUGGGUCGUUGCCCCAAGGGCCGCGGGUGCGGCGAGGGGCAGUUCGGGUGUGUGAGGUGCUGGGCACAGGCGCUCGCCCGCGCCAGGCCGCGGAGCGACCGUGCCGGGCCGCGGCUGCGCCUUGGCUAGUCGGGCCGGUGCUGGAGGCGAGUGCCGCGGCCCUGGCCGCCCUUCCACCCGCGCCCCGGGCGGCGCAGGGCUGGGGAGCCGCCUGCCUCCCGGGCCGGAGCGAGAGCGCCGCCGCAGCGGGCCUGGCCCCAGCUCCUCGCCGCGCCCCGGGCGCCACCCGGGCUGGGCGCUCAGGUCCGCGCUGCCGAGCCCGGGCGGCCGAGCGCAGCCGCGACCGGACCCGCCCGCCCCGGGGCGCUGGGACGGGACCGCGGCCCCGGGCAGGCGCCGGCCUCGCUCGUUCGCGCCGCGCCCGGCGGGAGAGAGGG